RNAcentral lists this ribosomal RNA (2168 nucleotides) under Salmonella enterica subsp. enterica serovar Lille. RNAcentral describes it as "partial 23S ribosomal RNA". It matches the Rfam family "Bacterial large subunit ribosomal RNA", at positions 711 to 2778 of the family's 2925-position model. The record is from RNAcentral. Lineage: Bacteria; Pseudomonadati; Pseudomonadota; Gammaproteobacteria; Enterobacterales; Enterobacteriaceae.
AGACCCGAAACCCGGUGAUCUAGCCAUGGGCAGGUUGAAGGUUGGGUAACACUAACUGGAGGACCGAACCGACUAAUGUUGAAAAAUUAGCGGAUGACCUGUGGCUGGGGGUGAAAGGCCAAUCAAACCGGGAGAUAGCUGGUUCUCCCCGAAAGCUAUUUAGGUAGCGCCUCGUGAAUUCAUCUCCGGGGGUAGAGCACUGUUUCGGCUAGGGGGCCAUCCCGGCUUACCAACCCGAUGCAAACUGCGAAUACCGGAGAAUGUUAUCACGGGAGACACACGGCGGGUGCUAACGUCCGUCGUGAAGAGGGAAACAACCCAGACCGCCAGCUAAGGUCCCAAAGUCAUGGUUAAGUGGGAAACGAUGUGGGAAGGCCCAGACAGCCAGGAUGUUGGCUUAGAAGCAGCCAUCAUUUAAAGAAAGCGUAAUAGCUCACUGGUCGAGUCGGCCUGCGCGGAAGAUGUAACGGGGCUAAACCAUGCACCGAAGCUGCGGCAGCGAACGUAUCACUUAAAGCGAUUCAGCGGGUUACGAUUGACGGAGCGAAGCGACGUCAAAGCGUAUACAAAGUCGAGUCGGUUUAAGGAUACGUUCGUUGGGUAGGGGAGCGUUCUGUAAGCCUGUGAAGGUGGCCUGUGAGGGUUGCUGGAGGUAUCAGAAGUGCGAAUGCUGACAUAAGUAACGAUAAAGCGGGUGAAAAGCCCGCUCGCCGGAAGACCAAGGGUUCCUGUCCAACGUUAAUCGGGGCAGGGUGAGUCGACCCCUAAGGCGAGGCCGAAAGGCGUAGUCGAUGGGAAACGGGUUAAUAUUCCCGUACUUGGUGUUACUGCGAAGGGGGGACGGAGAAGGCUAUGUUGGCCGGGCGACGGUUGUCCCGGUUUAAGCGUGUAGGUGUGUGUUCCAGGUAAAUCCGGUUCACUUUAACACUGAGGCGUGACGACGAGGCACUACGGUGCUGAAGCAACAAAUGCCCUGCUUCCAGGAAAAGCCUCUAAGCAUCAGGUAACAUCAAAUCGUACCCCAAACCGACACAGGUGGUCAGGUAGAGAAUACCAAGGCGCUUGAGAGAACUCGGGUGAAGGAACUAGGCAAAAUGGUGCCGUAACUUCGGGAGAAGGCACGCUGACACGUAGGUGAAGUGAUUUACUCAUGGAGCUGAAGUCAGUCGAAGAUACCAGCUGGCUGCAACUGUUUAUUAAAAACACAGCACUGUGCAAACACGAAAGUGGACGUAUACGGUGUGACGCCUGCCCGGUGCCGGAAGGUUAAUUGAUGGGGUCAGCGCAAGCGAAGCUCCUGAUCGAAGCCCCGGUAAACGGCGGCCGUAACUAUAACGGUCCUAAGGUAGCGAAAUUCCUUGUCGGGUAAGUUCCGACCUGCACGAAUGGCGUAAUGAUGGCCAGGCUGUCUCCACCCGAGACUCAGUGAAAUUGAACUCGCUGUGAAGAUGCAGUGUACCCGCGGCAAGACGGAAAGACCCCGUGAACCUUUACUAUAGCUUGACACUGAACAUUGAGCCUUGAUGUGUAGGAUAGGUGGGAGGCUUUGAAGUGUGGACGCCAGUCUGCAUGGAGCCGACCUUGAAAUACCACCCUUUAAUGUUUGAUGUUCUAACGUGGACCCGUAAUCCGGGUUGCGGACAGUGUCUGGUGGGUAGUUUGACUGGGGCGGUCUCCUCCUAAAGAGUAACGGAGGAGCACGAAGGUUGGCUAAUCCUGGUCGGACAUCAGGAGGUUAGUGCAAUGGCAUAAGCCAGCUUGACUGCGAGCGUGACGGCGCGAGCAGGUGCGAAAGCAGGUCAUAGUGAUCCGGUGGUUCUGAAUGGAAGGGCCAUCGCUCAACGGAUAAAAGGUACUCCGGGGAUAACAGGCUGAUACCGCCCAAGAGUUCAUAUCGACGGCGGUGUUUGGCACCUCGAUGUCGGCUCAUCACAUCCUGGGGCUGAAGUAGGUCCCAAGGGUAUGGCUGUUCGCCAUUUAAAGUGGUACGCGAGCUGGGUUUAGAACGUCGUGAGACAGUUCGGUCCCUAUCUGCCGUGGGCGCUGGAGAACUGAGGGGGGCUGCUCCUAGUACGAGAGGACCGGAGUGGACGCAUCACUGGUGUUCGGGUUGUCAUGCCAAUGGCACUGCCCGGUAGCUAAAUGCGGAAGAGAUAAGUGCUGAAAGC